UACGGAGGGGGCUAGCGUUAUUCGGAAUUACUGGGCGUAAAGCGCACGUAGGCGGACCAGAAAGUCAGAGGUGAAAUCCCAGGGCUCAACCUUGGAACUGCCUUUGAAACUCCUGGUCUUGAGUUCGAGAGAGGUGAGUGGAAUUCCGAGUGUAGAGGUGAAAUUCGUAGAUAUUCGGAGGAACACCAGUGGCGAAGGCGGCUCACUGGCUCGAUACUGACGCUGAGGUGCGAAAGCGUGGGGAGCAAACAGG
Molecule: ribosomal RNA, 253 nt
Filed under: uncultured bacterium
Lineage: Bacteria
Description: partial 16S ribosomal RNA
Rfam family: Bacterial small subunit ribosomal RNA
Source: RNAcentral